GACGAACGCUGGCGGCGUGCUUAACACAUGCAAGUCGAACGAAGAGCGAUGGAUGCUUGCUUCUAUCAAUCUUAGUGGCGAACGGGUGAGUAACGCGUAAUCAACCUGCCCUUCAGAGGGGGACAACAGUUGGAAACGACUGCUAAUACCGCAUACGAUCUAAUCUCGGCAUCGAGGAUAGAUGAAAGGUGGCCUCUACAUGUAAGCUAUCACUGAAGGAGGGGAUUGCGUCUGAUUAGCUAGUUGGAGGGGUAACGGCCCACCAAGGCGAUGAUCAGUAGCCGGUCUGAGAGGAUGAACGGCCACACUGGGACUGAGACACGGCCCAGACUCCUACGGGAGGCAGCAGUGGGGAAUCUUCCGCAAUGGACGAAAGUCUGACGGAGCAACGCCGCGUGAGUGAUGACGGCCUUCGGGUUGUAAAGCUCUGUUAAUCGGGACGAAAGGCCUUCUUGCGAAUAGUGAGAAGGAUUGACGGUACCGGAAUAGAAAGCCACGGCUAACUACGUG
RNAcentral lists this ribosomal RNA (510 nucleotides) under uncultured bacterium. RNAcentral's name for it is "partial 16S ribosomal RNA". It matches the Rfam family "Bacterial small subunit ribosomal RNA", at positions 28 to 507 of the family's 1533-position model. The record is from RNAcentral.